Rhineura floridana is the source of this 3271-nucleotide RNA transcript. It is a transcript of the gene named 3-hydroxyacyl-CoA dehydratase 1, with no coding region annotated. The record is from RefSeq and is a predicted model, not a curated record. NCBI's taxonomy places the organism in Eukaryota, Metazoa, Chordata, Lepidosauria, Squamata, Rhineuridae. The transcript is spliced from 8 exons.
CAGCUGCCGUCGGGCUCUGCGAAGACGGAUGGGGCGAGCGCCAGAGUCAGCUCCAGCUGUCAGCGCCGCCUGCGCCUGACCCCUCCUCCUCCACCACCAUCGGUUCCCCCACGUGUGUCCGUCUAUCUCCGCCUGGCCUCCGGUGAAGGAAACCAUGGCAUCCAGCGAAGAGGGCAGCGGAGCCGGCAACGGCUCCUUGGAAGAGAAGGAGAACGGCAAGAAGGCCGUUCGGCGUCGCGGCGCCGUGACUACAGCCUGGCUCAUCUUCUUCAACAUCACCAUGACGGCGGGGUGGCUGGUUUUGGCUAUCGCCAUGAUGCGAUUUUACAUGGAAAAAGGAACAUACAAAGGCUUAUACAAAAACAUUCAAAAGACACUUAAAUUUUUCCAGACGUUUGCUUUGCUUGAGAUAGUCCAUUGUGCAGCUGGAGUAGUGCACACUUCUGUGCUUGUGACUGGGGUCCAAGUGAGUUCCAGAAUCUUCAUGGUGUGGUUUAUUACACAUAGUGUAAAGCAGAUCCAGAAUGAGGAGAGUGUUAUUCUUUUUCUGGUCGUAUGGACUGUGACAGAGAUUACUCGAUAUUCCUUCUACACAUUCAAUAUGCUGAACCACUUGCCGUACUUCAUAAAAUGGGCCAGGUACAAUUUUUUCAUUAUCUUAUAUCCAGUGGGAGUUGUUGGUGAGCUUCUGACAAUUUAUGCUGCCUUACCCUAUGUGAAGAGAUCGGGCAUGUUUUCAGUGAGACUUCCCAACAAGUAUAAUGUCUCUUUUGACUACUACUAUUUCCUUCUCAUCGUCAUGGCGUCCUAUGUACCAUUAUUUCCACAACUGUACUUUCACAUGCUUCGUCAAAGAAGAAAAGUGCUUCAUGGUGAAGUGAUUAUAGAAAAGGAUGAUUAAAAGAACCCUUUUAAUCAUGGUGCUUUUUUCAGAGUAACAAACCAAAUCUAUAACGUGUUGCACGAGUCCAAAUGUGAAAUCAUGGAACAAGAAGAACCAGUGCACAAAACCAAAGUAGACUAUAUUAUUUAGUGACACUAAUAUUUUCAGACUUCACUUUUCAAGUUUGCGCUCAUUUUUGUACCCUCUUCUCCCCCCCCCCCAGUUGGAAGAGGCAGCCAAAAAAGCCCCAGUGUGUGUAGAUAACUACACACAGCGCUUCAGAUCCUGGCCUGUCUUCCGUUCCUAUCAUUUUGUUCCUGUUAAUAUCUUCUUAAAAGAAUUCAUUAAAUGUUGUACUUCUGCGCACAUUUUAUAAAUUCAAAGCUUAUUUUAAUUAGGAUUAUUUCAUUGAUUGCAUAGAAUUUGAAUAGUUUUUAAAAGCAUCUCAUAGAAACUAACAAAACUGUGUUGUUCGCUGUAAGCAGAGGACAUGGAAAUGGGCUCGGUUGUCAAUGCUGCAGUGAUUUUAAAAAAACCGUCCUGUGUAAAAGAAUUCAUUACUAGAUUCUGCAAUAUCUUCCAUGCAAAAGCAUAUUACUGGAUCAUAGAAUAACACUCUAGUUUAGUUUUCAAUUGCCCAGGUAAUUUUAGGGCAAGGUAUUUUGUUCAUUUUUUAAAAUGUAUUUUUGCACAUGAACAAUUAAAAGUAGAAAAGUAUACGAAAACUUGGUCACCCUUUGCCUCUAUGCAUUGACAAUCUGUGAUAGAUAAAACUUUGGUUUAUUUGUCACUAAUGGACUGUUUAGCAGUUUCUUCUUAUUUAUUUGAAUCUUGUCAGUUAAAUACUUGAUGGGAGGAUCCAAAAAAUCACACAACUAAUAUUCCCGUAGGAACUUUGGGCUUAACACUUUUCAAAAAGCUGCCAUCAAUCUAACAUAGAAAACCUUUUGAAAGACAAGGUUUUCUGCUCAAAAACUUGUGGUGGGGUUAAUCUAUCUUGGUACACCCAAGUAAUUGUGCAUGUAUUAUGCAGCUGUUUGGGUCCUGGGCUUUAACACAGAACAAUGUAAAGCUAUGAUCCAUAAAGCAUAUGGAAAAGGGAAUUCAGGGAAGGAUAAAAGACUUGAAUAUCUUGGCAUGAGGGCUUCCCAUCUCUUCCACCUCCACCUGCUAUCUAUCUAUCUGUCUGUCUGUCUGUCUGUCUGUCAUUUGAUUUAUAUCCUACCCUUCCUCUCAGUAGGAGCCCAGGGUGUCAGUCUAGUCCCACAGAUCCUGAAAUCUUACUCCAGAGGGUCAGGGGAUACUCCAGAGCAGCCUUUCCCAACUGGUGUGCCUCCAGAUGUUGUUGGACCACAAAUCCCAUCAGCCUCAGCCAACAUUGCCAAUGCCUGAGGCUGAUGGGAGUUGUGGUCCAACAACAUCUGGAGGCACACCUGUUGGGAAAGGCUGCUCCAGAGCAUCUGGACUGGGGGAGCUGCCAAUAGAUACAGUAUGUGUGGUGGUGGUGGUAGUGGAAUUGGUGAUCCCUCCCUGCAUGAAUAGACAUGCUUUCUGCUUGUGCUGCAAGAUUUUUUGGAUCCAAACCAUGAUGUGAUUAGAGCUUGUUGUAAAUUCUUUCUUCAAAUAUACUUGAUUUUAUGUGUCAGGUCCUUCCAAAUUGUGUAUUUACAAGGCUUUAGUUGGAAAAAAUGCAGCUUUUUACUGUAUACUUGUUAAUCAUAUGUUUGCUACUAUAAGUGCUUUUCUGGCAAUACAACUUUAUUUUAGAGGGGGAGAUUUCUACAAGGAAAUUAUCAAAGGUGCUCUAACAAUUUUUUCAUGUUACAUAAAGCUUUAAAAUAAAGUACCAUACAAAAUGAUUUGGUCAUGUUUAGAUUAAAGUGUUUCAAGUUGCAUCAAUUAUAUUUUUGCAAUUACUGUUUAAGCCUGAUUUUCCUUUUAAAAACUUCAAACUAUUUCUUACAAAAUAUCUAGGCAGCUCUUUGGUGCAUACGUCUGAAUUAUUACAGAGAAGAACUGUAUGGGAAGAUUUAUUUUUUUCCAUGGCUACUGUGGUUACCUUUUUUCUAGCAUUUUUAACUUCCUAAUUCCUAAGUAUAUUAUGUGCCUCAUCCUGUAAUUCUUGCUGAUCUAAAUUGGAAUUGCUGCAGCUGUCCUGGUUCUCAUGUAUGCUGUCGUUAAACCUGAGGAUGUUGUCGUACAGUAAACAAGGCUUACAUUCUGCAAUGUGCUGUUGCAUGUGUUAAACACCAAGCACAUUCCCAUGGUGCAGAUUUCAGAAGCUCUCAAGAAUGAUUCCUUCCUCCAAUAGUAACCUUUACAUGUUUGAUAUAACCUUCACUUAAUGGGCCAUGAAUAUUUAUCUUCCUUUUCUCAAAUAAAAAUCUC